Molecule: non-coding RNA, 283 nt
Organism: Dermatophagoides farinae (American house dust mite)
Lineage: Eukaryota; Metazoa; Arthropoda; Arachnida; Sarcoptiformes; Pyroglyphidae
Source: RefSeq, a predicted model, not a curated record
GUAGUCCUAUUUUUGUUCCAUCAACAACAACAGCAGAAGAAUUUUUCCAUUUGUUCCAAAAUAAUGAACGAAUGAUGUGUCAGCUGUAUUAUUAUUAUUAUUGAUCUUCAUUCAUUCAUUCAUUCACAAUCUACAGAGCAAAGCAAAAGAAGAAGAAAUUCUUUUCAACAACCAAGGCUUGAUUCUGCCGCCGCCGCCGCCACCACCACCACCACGACGUUUGGAUCAAUUCUUGUAUAGAACGCAUGCUAGUAUGUUACGGUUUCAACAAAAGAAAAUGAAA